AUAAAUGCGUGCACAGUCGUAAACACUGCGGUGAGACUGGCCAUGGCGUCCCAGACAGAACCGGUCAUGGAGAGUCCAAGAAACGACGCGGAAGACCCUCUCAGUACUAAGCGACUGAAGAGGGUUGGCGAGAUGUUACUUACCCUUGAUAAUCAGAUAUCGCUAUGCAACAACGUCCUGGAGGAUUUGCAGGAGUUGCAGAGUGUUGUUUUGAAGAGGAAUCUCCAGGAUGCACGGCUACCAUCUCCAAAGUGAUUCAACAAGACGCAGAUUUUAUGUCUAACUUGCAUAUUUGAAUAAAUUACAACUAAAGUAG
Gadus morhua (Atlantic cod) is the source of this 316-nucleotide long non-coding RNA. RefSeq lists it as uncharacterized. NCBI's taxonomy places the organism in Eukaryota, Metazoa, Chordata, Actinopteri, Gadiformes, Gadidae. The transcript has 4 exons. The record is from RefSeq and is a predicted model, not a curated record.